RNAcentral lists this long non-coding RNA (723 nucleotides) under Citrus sinensis (sweet orange). RNAcentral's name for it is "long non-coding RNA (CSIN_LNC003756)". The record is from RNAcentral. Lineage: Eukaryota; Viridiplantae; Streptophyta; Magnoliopsida; Sapindales; Rutaceae.
UAACAACUCCAAUUACAGCGGUAAUUACCAUAGCAAUAGACCGAACAACCGGAGACCGGCGGUCCGUCAUGAGAAGCCGGAUCAGAGGAGGCAGCAGCGGGCUCAAUCGGAGCCGUCUAUGCCGAGGAGGGCGUCGGCUUCUGAUGAUUCGAAGUCGGUGAGGAGAUCGAGUUCUGAUGAUUUUUUAAUGGAGAAGGUGACCAUUUUGAGAAGAGGAGAGUCGCUCGAUUCGAAGAUAAAGACCGGCAACGGUGCCGGGGCGACGUCGUCGAAGAAGGAAGGUAAUAGUUUGGUGGUUAACGGUAGCGUGCGGACAGGUCGGUCCCCGGAAGUGAUGCCUAAGAUCCGGAUCGUCGAUUUUAAGACUCCGAUGGCUGGAAAGACCGAUGUGUACGCCGGAUCGGCGUUCGCGGUUUCUCCGGCACCGAGUUCGUUGCCUUUGCCGUCGUUUUCGACGAAAAAACAGAUCGCGGUUGACGACUCAGCAACUCGAGACAUCAAGCGUUUGCUCCGGCUCGAGCUAUGAGAUCUGGUUCAAGAACCGGGGCCGUCUUGAACCUUUUAACUUAAAUUCGUGUCUGUAUAACGUGUUCCUAUCGAUUUUCAAGGUCCGAUAUUCCUCGCGAUUUUUUUUAAACGGGGAAGGGUAGAUUUGAAAAUAAGGGAGAAAUGCGGGGCGAAUUAGGAAUUAUAUCGUGCUUGUCGUUUGUUGGUGUUGGUGGU